RNAcentral lists this ribosomal RNA (208 nucleotides) under uncultured bacterium. RNAcentral describes it as "partial 16S ribosomal RNA". It matches the Rfam family "Bacterial small subunit ribosomal RNA", at positions 568 to 774 of the family's 1533-position model. The record is from RNAcentral.
CGCGUAGGCGGCCUCUCAAGCGGGAUCUCUAAUCCGAGGGCUCAACCCCCCGGCCCGGAUCCCGAACUGGGAGGCUCGAGUUCGGUAGAGGCAGGCGGAAUUCCCGGUGUAGCGGUGGAAUGCGCAGAUAUCGGGAAGAACACCGAUGGCGAAGGCAGCCUGCUGGGCCGCAACUGACGCUGAGGCGCGAAAGCUAGGGGAGCGAACA